AAUGACAUCUCCAAGAGAUAAUUGGAGUGAGAUGUCAGCCAACUGGAGUCCAAUCAAUGAGAUGAGAUUGGAGGUUUUGGUUACAGCUGCCCUGCCCUAUAAAAAACACACACCAGUUCUGGGUUUGCUUUUCACAAGAAGCAUUGCCCGAUGUGAAUGAUGCCUCACACAAAAGAGCUCUCAGAAGACCUACGAUUAAGAAUUGUUGACUUGCAUAAAGCUGGAAAGGGUUAUAAAAGUGUUGCUGUUCAUUGCUGUUCAUCAGUCCAGGGUAAGACAAAGUAUCUAUAAAUGGAGAAAGUUCAGCACUGCUGCUUCUCUCUUUUACAGGAGUGACCGUCCUGUAAAGAUGACUGCAAGAGCACAGCGCAGACUGCUCAAUGAGGUGAAGAAUAAUCCUAGAGUGUCAGCUAAACACUUACAAAAGUAACUGUACGUAAAACACUAAACAAGAAUGGAUUUC
Pelobates cultripes (western spadefoot toad) is the source of this 463-nucleotide non-coding RNA. The record is from the annotation of a GenBank genome assembly. Lineage: Eukaryota; Metazoa; Chordata; Amphibia; Anura; Pelobatidae.